CAAGUGAGCCGGGCGAUCGCGGCCCUGAGCUUGUCGAAGGGCCGAGGAAAGUCCGCUCUCCGCAGAGCGCGGCGCCGGGUAAUGCCCGGAGCAAAGCGAUUCGCUGGAAGAGGGCCACAGAGAAGCGUAGUGCGCCCUCACCCCUUCCCCUCUCCCACUGGGCGAGGGGUUCGGGGUGAGGGCGCGAGGGUGAAACGGUGCGGUAAGAGCGCACCAGCGUUUGCCGCAAGGCAGGCGGCUAGGCAACCCCCGCCGGGAGCAAGGUCAAGCAGAGGCGAGAUGCGGCUCGCAUCGUUUGAGCCUCGGGUAGACCGCACGACCUCAGCAGUAAUGCUGAGGCUAGAGAGAUGAUCGCCGCUCGCAAGAGCACAGAAAGCGGCUUACAGGCUCACUUGAACG
RNAcentral lists this RNase P RNA (399 nucleotides) under Chloroflexota bacterium. Its description in RNAcentral is "Chloroflexi bacterium (freshwater metagenome) RNase P RNA component class A". It matches the Rfam family "Bacterial RNase P class A". From Rfam's summary of the family: Ribonuclease P (RNase P) is a ubiquitous endoribonuclease, found in archaea, bacteria and eukarya as well as chloroplasts and mitochondria. The record is from RNAcentral. Lineage: Bacteria; Bacillati; Chloroflexota.